UUUUUCUUUUUUCUUCGGCAGUUAACUGCAGCCGGUUCUUUAACUUCGGUAGUUAACUGCUGCAGGAGUAU
RNAcentral lists this microRNA precursor (71 nucleotides) under Medicago truncatula (barrel medic). Its description in RNAcentral is "MIR2629 microRNA precursor family". It matches the Rfam family "MIR2629 microRNA precursor family". The record is from Rfam by way of RNAcentral. Lineage: Eukaryota; Viridiplantae; Streptophyta; Magnoliopsida; Fabales; Fabaceae.